GGUUAUGGCUCAGUGGUAGAGUGCUCGCUUCGCACGUGCAAGGCCCUGAGUUCAAUCCUCAGCACCA
RNAcentral lists this transfer RNA (67 nucleotides) under Marmota monax (woodchuck). RNAcentral describes it as "tRNA.Ala". Lineage: Eukaryota; Metazoa; Chordata; Mammalia; Rodentia; Sciuridae. The record is from RNAcentral.